GCUGCACUAGAGAAAUGGCAACUCGUCAGCCUCCUACUCCAGAUAGUAGAGCUGAAGAUUCUCGGUUCGAGUCCGGGGUGUGGCG
Molecule: non-coding RNA, 85 nt
Organism: Hypoxylon trugodes
Lineage: Eukaryota; Fungi; Ascomycota; Sordariomycetes; Xylariales; Hypoxylaceae
Source: the annotation of a RefSeq genome assembly